This 196-nucleotide ribosomal RNA is filed under the name uncultured bacterium. Its description in RNAcentral is "partial 16S ribosomal RNA". It matches the Rfam family "Bacterial small subunit ribosomal RNA", at positions 1305 to 1500 of the family's 1533-position model. The record is from RNAcentral.
CUGCAACUCGCCUACAUGAAGUCGGAAUUGCUAGUAAUCGCGGAUCAGCAUGCCGCGGUGAAUACGUCCCCGGGCCUUGUACACACCGCCCGUCACACCAUGGGAGUCGGUAACACCCGAAGCCUGUAGUCUAACCGCAAGGGGGACGCAGUCGAAGGUGGGAUUGAUGACUGGGGUGAAGUCGUAACAAGGUAGC